AACGAACGCUGGCGGCAUGCCUAACACAUGCAAGUCGAACGAGACCUUCGGGUCUAGUGGCGCACGGGUGCGUAACGCGUGGGAACCUGCCUUUAGGUUCGGAAUAACUCAGAGAAAUUUGAGCUAAUACCGGAUAAUGUCUUCGGACCAAAGAUUUAUCGCCUUUAGAUGGGCCCGCGUUGGAUUAGCUAGUUGGUGGGGUAAAGGCCUACCAAGGCGACGAUCCAUAGCUGGUCUGAGAGGAUGAUCAGCCACACUGGGACUGAGACACGGCCCAGACUCCUAUGGGAGGCAGCAGUGGGGAAUAUUGGACAAAUGGGCGAAAGCCUGAUCCAGCAAUGCCGCGUGAGUGAUGAAGGCCUUAGGGUUGUAAAGCUNUUUUACCCGAGAUGAUAAUGACAGU
Molecule: ribosomal RNA, 403 nt
Filed under: uncultured bacterium
Lineage: Bacteria
Description: bacterial SSU rRNA
Rfam family: Bacterial small subunit ribosomal RNA
Source: RNAcentral